GACGGGUGAGUAACACGUGGGAACGUACCCUUUGGUUCGGAACAAGCCUGGGAAACUAGGGCUAAUAACGGAUACGCGCGAGAGCGGAAAGGUUUACUGCCGAAGGAUCGGCCCAUGUCUGAUUAGCUAAUUGGUGAGGUAACGGCUCACCAAGGCGACUGAUCAGUAGCUGGUCUGAGAGGAUGAUCAGUCACAUAGGGACUGAGACACGGCCCAAACUCCUACGGGAGGCAGCAGUGGGGAAUAUUGGACAAUGGGCGCAAGCGUGAUCCAGCCAUGCCGCGUGAGUGAUGAAGGCCCUAGGGUUGUAAAGCUCUAUUACCUGGGAAGAUAAUGACGGUACCAGAAGAAUAAGACCCGGCUAACUUCGUGCCAGCAGCAGCGGUAAU
Molecule: ribosomal RNA, 389 nt
Filed under: uncultured bacterium
Lineage: Bacteria
Description: bacterial SSU rRNA
Rfam family: Bacterial small subunit ribosomal RNA
Source: RNAcentral